AGCUAGCCCAGAUAGAAGCGGUAUCCUUUGUGUUUUUUCUUUAAAAACAUAAAGAUAUAGCGGAGAGCUGGAAAAAGC
This 78-nucleotide small RNA is filed under the name Flavobacterium degerlachei. Its description in RNAcentral is "Flavo-1 RNA". It matches the Rfam family "Flavo-1 RNA". Lineage: Bacteria; Pseudomonadati; Bacteroidota; Flavobacteriia; Flavobacteriales; Flavobacteriaceae. The record is from RNAcentral.